This 267-nucleotide ribosomal RNA is filed under the name uncultured bacterium. Its description in RNAcentral is "partial 16S ribosomal RNA". It matches the Rfam family "Bacterial small subunit ribosomal RNA", at positions 89 to 354 of the family's 1533-position model. The record is from RNAcentral.
UGGCGACCGGCGCACGGGUGAGUAACGCGUAUCCAACCUGCCCUUUACUAUGGGACAGCCCGUCGAAAGGCGGAUUAAUACCGUAUGUUGUCAUGUUGAUGCAUAUUUCCAUGACCAAAGGCUUCGGCCGGUAAAGGAUGGGGAUGCGUCUGAUUAGCUUGCCGGCGGGGUAACGGCCCACCGGGGCGACGAUCAGUAGGGGUUCUGAGAGGAAGGUCCCCCACAUUGGAACUGAGACACGGUCCAAACUCCUACGGAAGGCAGCAG